Oryctolagus cuniculus (rabbit) is the source of this 1166-nucleotide long non-coding RNA. RefSeq lists it as uncharacterized. Lineage: Eukaryota; Metazoa; Chordata; Mammalia; Lagomorpha; Leporidae. The record is from RefSeq and is a predicted model, not a curated record.
AACCUUGAGGCAAAAUAUAUAAAACAAUGCAAUUUUUAAAACAAGUUUAGCCAAUUUCUGUCAUAACCAGGUGGACUAGAAACACUGAUGGAUGGUAAUGAACUGAGCAGGAUUUAGCUUCCCAAACUUAUGCAGAAGUGUAAAUUCUGAAGUCUUAUGUUAAUGGCUGAAAGAUUCAGAGUGGAAACUUGAUCUAAUUGUACCAUCUUCGAGGUGGGACUGGUGAGAGAUCUUUAGGUCACUGGAGUUUGCCCUUGGAAGGCAGUUCUUGCAACACAGUUGGUUCGUUAAGCCAAGUUUGGCCUAGCAUCACUCUCCCGCUUGCAGGCUCACCGUGGGAUGGCUCCUCUGCACACACUCCACCAAGGCCAGCCUCCACCAGAUGCCACACUAACAGAGCCACCCAAUCCUGAACUGUGAACCUCCAAAUUGUGAUCUGAAAUAAACCUUUUCCUUCCCAGGGAGCUCCUUUUGGGUAUUUGACAGUUAGGAAAAGCUGACUAAUACAAUGACUCUCCACUGAGAAAACAACUAAAAAUUCCAGAAAAGAAAGACAGACGCCUUCCUGAGCAGCUGAGGAGCACCAAGGAGUCAAAGAACCAGUAAGGGGUAUCUGCAAGGAAAGGGGCCCAUCUUGAAACUCAGCAGUCAAUGGAUAAGCAAAUGCCUCAUUCUGAUUCUGCUCAACCAACAAUUAUUGCUGUCAUUCUUUUUGGUGGGAUUGGCGGAGAUGCAAAUACACAGUAUCACUGAAUCCAUUCUGAGUUCCAUGAAACAGAAGAAUCCUCCCAUAAUCUGAUAUUUCUUGAGGCAAUUUUCCUUGCCUAAAAUCCUCAACAAAGCUAAAAAUACCAUCCACAGAAAGCAUCUGAAACAGGAAGAGCUGAAAUCUCCGCUAGUAACUAGAAGCUUUUCAGAACACUCAGAGAUCUGGGAAUGCUGCUAAGCAACGGACACCAAGACAUUCAAAGCCUGCCAUUCAGAACACGCACCUUUCUCCGUGGACUUUGCAUUCCUUGAACAAACCUGUGCUGCUAUCCUCAACACUGGAGCCCAAAGACCAGAAGUUAGAUCUGCUAACUGAAAAGAUGAGCACAGCGGGCACUGCCACUCAUGCUUUAUUAAAUUACUGUGAUAUACAAUGAAAAUAUAAACCCAACAUGAAA